Molecule: long non-coding RNA, 5495 nt
Organism: Bubalus bubalis (water buffalo)
Lineage: Eukaryota; Metazoa; Chordata; Mammalia; Artiodactyla; Bovidae
Exons: 3
Source: RefSeq, a predicted model, not a curated record
ACUACGGUCAAAUUGAAAGGCAGAGGCUGAGAGGAUUUUGAGGCCACUGUUUUACUAGUCAUUGUGGUUCCCUCUGGAUUUGGGUGCAAAAUAACACAUCAACAUUGCAUAAUUCCAGAAGACAAUAGACACUCACUGUUGGCUUUCUAGUUAAAUUCUUACAUUUUGAAUUUUUCUGGGCAUGAGACAGAGAGAGUUGUUUAGCAUCUGAACUCUGAGCUAACUAUGUUGUUGGCAAGUCCCAAAGGUUCUCCCGGGAUGGGAAAGAAUGUCACUCCCCACACAUGAACAACGUGAUCCCAGAGUCUGAUUUUCUGCAGACCCUUUUCAUGGGCCAGACUCGCCAGCCAAGAUCUGGCCAGAGGUACCCAGGCAGGCAGCCAGGGAAUGUGUUUCUUGCAGCUAUUCUGCUCUCUCUAACUUGCCAGACCCAUUAGGCUCUUUCACAGUUAAAUAUUUCUGAUGCACAUUUCCCCAUAAGCAAAAUCCUGUCUUUUGAAAUCAUGCCAGGGGAAAGACCCCUCCUGAGGAGACUAUGGGAAAAAAACAAAGUAAGAAUUUUCUAAUUCCUGCCUCACAGAACUGACCAAGGUCUGGGAACACACUGCCUACAUGCUUUGAUUUGUGCCAGGAGCCACAUAAGAGGACUUUCUUUUCGCAGAGAGAACACUUGCCAGGCCUUUGAAAAAGUUGUGUUCGUCAGGACCCUGAAGUUCUCCCCUGAUACUGUCUGCAUCUAUUAUCCCAGAGUUAUCCCAUCUAUUAUCCCAAAGCAAUCUUUCAUUGCUUUUUCUUUCUUUCUCUCGCCUCCCUCAAGACAUGUGUGCACAGGGUUACAUUUGGUUACUCUCAGCUCUUGCUCACUUGCUGUUCACUGGGUCAUCUCCUGAGCAUCUUUGAUCUCUUGACAUCAGAAGCCAGGUGCGGUGCUUUAUCACCUUUUUUACUUUCAGGGCCUAGCACUUACACAGAACACAGCCUUACACAGAACAGCACACAAGCAAGGUUUGAUGAAAAAAAAAAUACAUAAUGCCUGACAUAAUUACUACAAGGUUCUAUAGUCUCAAAUGCCAGAUUUCUUAGAGCACAAGAAACUUGGGAAAACUGCUAAGUAGUAAUCAAUUAAUAUUAUUAUAGCUGGGAGAAAUAAUGCUUCAAGGGUAACACCUCUUGAAGGUGAUACUUACUUGCUGAGAAAAUGUACUGGGUGAAUCAUGUAAUAAAUCUGUCCCCAAAGUGAAUACAAGAUCAAAAGACUUCUUAUUUAUAUCAAUUAUUCUGAAAUAAUUUGAUAGUAUCCUAAAUGGUACCCUGAGAAAGGACUGUGAUCUUUAAGCAAGCAAACCCUACUUCCCAAACCCUACUCUUGCCUCUCUCUCAUAUGAGGAUGAAGUGUCUUAUUUUCAAGGAAAGCAUACAGCCCCCCUCCCCGCCCUGCAGAGGCUAAUGACAUCUAAGUGUCAAAUGUCCCUCACUGUUCACUGUCAAGUCUAGAUGGAAAAAUGGGCAACAUUUCUAAAUCAGGUCUCUGGGUUCUUUACUCUCACAUCAGGUGCCUGGUUUUCACCUUUCAUUUCGACGCUGAACAGCUCUUUCAUAUUUCUUCCGAAGCUGUACCAUCUCCUCUUCAAUCAUUGUGAUCAUGUUAGCAAGUCUGUCGAUGUUAUUUAACUGGGCUUCUUUCUUCUCUUUCAUUUCUUGAAGUUUUGCUACAAUUUUGCACACAUCGUUUUGCAUGCUUUCUCUGAUGGUAAUGUUGUUGGCAUGCUUCAGCAUUGAAUUUUGUAGCUUUCUUUAAAAAUAAUGGGAAAAUGGGUAUGAUUAUAACUUCCUUUAGUUUCUUUAAAAACAAUAAAGACUUCAGAAACAUAAACUAUCAAAGUAGCUCUUGCCUUAGUAUGUUCCUUGAAAUGACAAUAGUAUUAGUAAUGAUGAUGUUCAUCAUGUCAUACUCUUUAGGAAUUUCUGUAAUUUUCCAAGUCUCCAACUUCCUCUAAUCUGGAUUAGGACAUCUUUCCUUUGUGCCCCAAGAAUCUGCUGCUCCCCUUUAUCAAAGCAAGAGACUACAGUGAUUCAUUUACUGCUCUUUUGUCCCCAGGGGACUCUGCUGUCUUGAGGGUGAAGGUGGUUAUAUCUGACAAUGUCCACUGGACCUAACGUAGUGCUUGACUUAAUGUGGCAUCAGAAUCAAUGCCGAAUGAAUGCGUGGCCGCUGUAAAUGACAUUUGCUUUCAUGUAGGAUGAGAACCUGAUUAGGAUGUUAGGUUUGCCUUUUCAUAGCGGUCCCCUCUCAGCUCUACCCCCAUCUCCCUUCCUACCCCCCACACAAGAGCCUAUUUUGUAAUAUCUUUAGGAAAGAAAACCAGGCAAUAGUGGCCACCAGAAAAAGUUCAGGUUGUAUAGAUUCUAUAGAUCAGGGACUAAAUACAGGUGGGAGAGUCCACCAGAUCUUGUCACAUGGUAAAUAAUAAAGUUUAAAAAACAAUCCUUGGAUUAAUUCAUUUAAUAACAAAAAGUCCUAUAUAAAGGACUAUUUCUAUGGAUUAAAAAAAGUGGGCCCAGAGAGCUAGGAUUGCAUGCCCAAGGUCACACAACUAGCAAGUGGCAGGACUGGGAUUUGAGUCUAGAAAAGUCACCUCUCUUAACAGCUCUGCUAUACUGCCUCCCACAAGCACAUUAGAUGCUUCAGGACUACAAUCUUGGGAUGCUGGUUAAUUAACAUUUGAUUGUCUUCUAACUUUAAAUGCAGAUUGUCAAAUUUGUGCUUUUAUUUCUAGAUGAAUAAAUGAAAAUAAAAUGAGAAUAGUUACAGGUUUAGUUUUCCCCUCACUUAAAAAAAAUACAGCUCCCAAGUAGAAGCAUAAGGAAUCACAUUCAAAUGCUUAGCUUGUCAUCUCUAAAGCAAGGUAUGUGAGCAAGGGCUUUUCUAGCUUUGUAGAAGACUUGUUUUCUACUUCAUCAUCCCUAGGGUAUUUUAUCAUUCAGUGACUCAGAAGAGAAACUUUUGAAAGGACAGUACUUACUGUAAGACUUACCUUUCUUGAGUAACUGCACUAUUUCUUAAAAUCUCCAGUUCAUUUAAUGACAUUUUAUGCCUUUCUUUUAUUUCAUUGACUUUCUGGUGAGCUUUGUGAAGUAAGUUAAUAAAUUUGUUUCUUUCAUUUCGAAUAGUGUCAUACAGUUUAGCAAACUCUCUAAGUCUGUGAAAACACAAGAAUUUUUGAAACUUGUGAAAUAAAUAUCUGUUUCCCUCUUUAAACUAACUAGAUAAGUCCUCAAGUAAUUGUUUUACCUCCGAUGAAUUUCACGUUUUUUCUUCCUGUGUAUCCGGAUUUCAAGAUCCUUUGCUUUAAUCUCCCUAACAAUGUUGGUAUAUUUUUGCUGAAAUAUAAAAGUUAAUUGUGAAAUUUUUAAAAAGUCCGCCACCAACAGCAUGUGGAUAUUCCCAGCCUCACCCCAUCUCAUAAGUAUCCAAUAAAGACCAUUCUAUCUUCAUCAGCUGGGUUGUGCAGAUCACAGGGAAGAGGUGAGGGCGGGGGCUGAAAAUUACCUGGCCAGCUGAACUGAAUUGCAUUGACUAGGACAAAGGGUUCAUUAAAGGACAGAAAGAUCCAGAGAGGAGGGGAAAAAAGGAGCCUGCCCACGUUGGUUUGAGGAAAACUUCAGGGAACUUUUCAUGAUCCAAAAAAUGAUUACGGAAAGCAUGAUUGGGUUGGAAUGAAGUGCUAUGGUGAGACCAGCCCCAUAAGGAGCAAUGAACUUAUUGGAUUCUUUAUGAUGGAGAAGAGAGCAGAGAAAAAGAAGACACAUGGCAGCUGAUGGGGAAGGAGUACCAUCCAAGGAUACAGAAGGGUUACAUUGGGGGUGCUGACUGCAUACUUGACUCAGAGAAGAUUUCGAGUUGGAUCUUCACAUCAAAAGCUCAUAACUCCAGUCUGAUGUGGUUUAUUUCCUACUGUGACAGCACACACUUGUUGAAUAUUACUGAAAUGUGUCCCAAGAAGAGAAGAUCAUACUCUUUUAGUGAUUUAAAGGUCACUAAACAGGAUCCUUCUGAAGUUGACACUGAUCUUUUAAAGUAGCUGAAAUGUGUCUUUGGAUGCUCCACACCCAUGAACCUGUGCAUCUUCAGUAGCAUUUUUUUUGCCCACAGAGGCCCAAUGACAUCUUGCUUUCCAUGGCCUCUCCUACUGCAGAGAGCUAGCUGCUGAGAAGCAUGUACUGGACUUAGGAAAAUGAGACAUGGUAUUGUGAAAUCCAUGUAACAAUAUAUAGACUUUGUGAUUUGGAUGAGCAGAUAAUUCCUACAGGAGGUCAGAAAAUGGAGAGCUCCACAUAGACUUGAAUAAUCAAGGAAGGUUUCAAGGAAGAGUUGAGAAGCCAGUGAGGAAGACUUUGAUUUUUCCUUCUGGAAAGUAGAGUUAAUUCUUCCUGGACAGAUUGGAGUCCAGCAAGUAUCUUGGUCCCUGACUAUUUCUCUGCCACUGAUGCCCAGGAGCAGGCUGCUCUAAAUGUUGCUCCCAAGUGUAGGCAAAUCUGUACAUGUACACUGACAGGGACUAGAGAAGCUUAUACAGUUUCUACAGAAGAUAUGAUGAGAGCAACUCAACUCCUCUGUAAACUAAAGGCUCCUGACAAAUUUUCCUGGAUUCAGGUCUCAGGCAUUUUAAGUUUUUUCCAAUGUUUUAAAUUACAAACAAUACUACAGUGAAUGAUACUCAUUUUUGAACUCUGUAUAACUGUUUUUUGACAUUUUCUCAAUUCUCCACAAACCCAGCCCUCCAGUUUCAGGAGGGAAUUACAUGUGCUUUGUUUGUGAAAGAGGUAAUAAGGUGAGGCAUUGGUAGCAGAGCUUCCUGGCUGCCUGCUGCUACUGCUGCUGCUGCUAAGUCGCUUCAGUCGUGUCCGACUCUGUGCGACCCCAUAGACGGCAGCCCACUAGGCUCCUCUGUCCCUGGGACUGUCCAGGCAAGAAUACUGGAGUGUGUUGCCAUUUCCUUCUGCCUUUUCCUUCCUGGCUGCCUAGCCAAUAUCUGUCCUCCACUUUGACGUUACUAACAGAACCCCAGUUUUGUUCAGAGCUGCAGUGUAUCCAAAAAUCUUCAAACUCCUUCAAAGUUGGGGGUGAUGAUAAGAGCCAGGGCGGGCCAAUAAAAUGUAACUGGAGGGGCUCCUGGAAAAGUGACUGUUUUAGAAACACAGUGUCAGCCAGGUCAGCUGCCAUAUGCAUUUUGCUCUCUGCCCUUCCUCACUUCUGUAUGAUCUUAUGCCCAGAGGCUUAAUGGCCAUUUUGUAACCUUGGAGAAAAAACAUGCAUAUUAUAGAUGACAGACGAGAAAGCUCAGAGGCUCUGGACUUUCCAUUAUGUGAAAAUGCUUGGUGUGUGCCUAUCUUUGGAUUUUUUAAUUAUUUGAAUGAAGCAACCCCUAUUUACUUAAGCCACUGUAACUGAGUGUCUAUUACUUCUUGAAGCCAAAUUAAAAACCUGAUUGAUA